GAUGAACGCUGGCGGCGUGCUUAACACAUGCAAGUCGAACGAAGCAUUUCCGACAGUUUUUUUCGUAAUGAAGUUGCUUAUGACUGAGUGGCGGACGGGUGAGUAACGCGUGUGUAACAUGCCUUGUACUGGGGGAUAGCAUCGGGAAACGGCUGUUAAUACCACAUAAGCGCACAAAGUAGCAUGACAGGGUGUGAAAAACUCCGGUGGUAUAAGAUGGACCCGCGUCUGAUUAGCUAGUUGGGGAGAUAACAGCCCACCAAGGCGACGAGCAGUAGCCGGCCUGAGAGGGUGACCGGCCACAUUGGGCCUGAGACACGGCCCAGACUCCUACGGGGAGCAGCAGUGGGGAAUAUUGCCCAAUGGAGGAAACUCUGAUGCAGCGACGCCGCGUGAGUGAGGAAGUUAUUCGUUAUGUAAAGCUCUAUCUUCGGGGAAGAUAAUGACGGUACCUGACGAAGAAGCUCCGGCUAACUACGUG
RNAcentral lists this ribosomal RNA (481 nucleotides) under uncultured bacterium. RNAcentral describes it as "partial 16S ribosomal RNA". It matches the Rfam family "Bacterial small subunit ribosomal RNA", at positions 28 to 507 of the family's 1533-position model. The record is from RNAcentral.